CGCAUCUGUGCAUGCAGCAUAUCAAUAAGCGGAGGAAAAGAAACUAACAAGGAUUCCCUUAGUAACGGCGAGUGAAGCGGGAAGAGCUCAAAUUUGAAAUCUUCAAGGUUUUACCUUGACGAAUUGUAGUUUAAAGAAGUGUUUUCUGCUGAAGUUUUGGUAAAAGUUCUUUGGAAUAGGACAUCAUAGAGGGUGAGAAUCCCGUAUUUGACCAUUAUUUUCAGCUUUGUGAUACACUUUCAAAGAGUCGGAUUGUUUGGGAAUGUAGUCCAAAAUGGGUGGUAAAUUUCAUCUAAAGCUAAAUAUUGUCGAGAGACCGAUAGCGAACAAGUACCGUGAGGGAAAGAUGAAAAGAACUUUGAAAAGAGAGUUAAACAGUACGUGAAAUUGUCAAAAGGGAAGCGUUUGACACCAGUGUUGUUUUCUCGAAAAUCAAUUAAAAAUGGCUCGAUUUUGUAUUGCUGAGACCUUAAAAGCUCACUGUACAUUUUUCGUGUCUUUUUUAAUGCACUUUUCGUUUAACAAGUCAACAUCAGUUUCUUUUGUUGUAAAAGGGUCAUUGGAAGGUGGCUUUCUUUUCGGAGAAAGUGUUUAUAGCCUUUGGCCUCUGCAAUCGAAGAGACUGAGGUCUGCAGCGUAGACUCUUCGGGGUUAGAUACAUUUGUGCUAAGUUAUAGCUUUUUAUAGACAACUUGUUGACUAUAAUUAGUCUUGUAGCUUACUCGCUUAUGCUAUUUUACCUACGCUUAGGAUGUUGACGCAUGAGAUAUACGC
Molecule: ribosomal RNA, 774 nt
Filed under: uncultured Neocallimastigales
Lineage: Eukaryota; Fungi; Neocallimastigomycota; Neocallimastigomycetes; Neocallimastigales
Description: partial large subunit ribosomal RNA
Rfam family: Eukaryotic large subunit ribosomal RNA
Source: RNAcentral